AGACGUUGGAAAUUUAUUUUCAGUGUCGCAGGGAAACCGAUAAACACACCGCCUGGGGAGUACGACCGCAAGGUUAAAACUCAAAUGAAUUGACGGGGACCCGCACAAGUAGUGGAGCAUGUGGUUUAAUUCGAAGAUACGCGCAGAACCUUACCAACACUUGACAUGUUCGUCGCGACUCUAAGAGAUUAGAGUUUUCGGUUCGGCCGGACGAAACACAGGUGCUGCAUGGCUGUCGUCAGCUCGUGUCGUGAGAUGUUGGGUUAAGUCCCGCAACGAGCGCAACCCUCACUUUUAGUUGCCAUCAUUAAGUUGGGCACUCUGAAAGAACUGCCAGUGAUAAGCUGGAGGAAGGUGGGGAUGACGUCAAGUCCUCAUGGCCCUUACGUGUUGGGCUACACACGUGCUACAAUGGCAUCUACAACAGGAAGCAAAACGGCAACGUUAAGCAAAUCCCGAAAAGAUGCCUCAGUUCGGAUUGCACUCUGCAACUCGAGUGCAUGAAGCUGGAAUUACUAGUAAUCGUGGAUCAGCGUGCCACGGUGAAUGCGUUCCCGGGUCUUGUACACACCGCCCGUCACACCAUGGGAGUUGGUUCUACCUUAAGGCAAGGGUUUAAAACCUUGACCACGGUAUAGUCAGCGACUGGGGUG
This 653-nucleotide ribosomal RNA is filed under the name uncultured marine bacterium. Its description in RNAcentral is "bacterial SSU rRNA". It matches the Rfam family "Bacterial small subunit ribosomal RNA", at positions 818 to 1482 of the family's 1533-position model. The record is from RNAcentral.